Danionella cerebrum is the source of this 79-nucleotide non-coding RNA. The record is from the annotation of a GenBank genome assembly. NCBI's taxonomy places the organism in Eukaryota, Metazoa, Chordata, Actinopteri, Cypriniformes, Danionidae.
GACUAGUGGCCGAGUGGUUAAGCCAAUGGACUGCCAAUCCAUUGUGCCCCACAUGUGUGGGGUUUGAAUCCCAUCCUCA